RNAcentral lists this ribosomal RNA (524 nucleotides) under uncultured bacterium. RNAcentral describes it as "partial 16S ribosomal RNA". It matches the Rfam family "Bacterial small subunit ribosomal RNA", at positions 28 to 523 of the family's 1533-position model. The record is from RNAcentral.
GACGAACGCUGGCGGCGUGCCUAAUACAUGCAAGUCGAGCGCAGGAAAUCAUCCGAACCCUUCGGGGGGACGUUGAUGGAAUGAGCGGCGGACGGGUGAGUAACACGUAAAGAACCUGCCCUCAGGUCUGGGAUAACCACGAGAAAUCGGGGCUAAUACCGGAUGGGUCAUCGGACCGCAUGGUCCGAGGAUGAAAGGCGCUUCGGCGUCGCCUGGGGAUGGCUUUGCGGUGCAUUAGCUAGUUGGUGGGGUAAUGGCCCACCAAGGCGACGAGCGCUAGCCGACCUGAGAGGGUGAUCGGCCACACUGGGACUGAGACACGGCCCAGACUCCUACGGGAGGCAGCAGUAGGGAAUCUUCCACAAUGGACGAAAGUCUGAUGGAGCAACGCCGCGUGAACGAUGAAGGCCUUCGGGUCGUAAAGUUCUGUUGUAAGGGAAGAACAAGUGCCGCAGGCAAUGGCGGCACCUUGACGGUACCUUGCGAGAAAGCCACGGCUAACUACGUGCCAGCCGCCGCCGUAA